CACACCGCCCGUCACACCAUGGGAGUUGGUUCGACCUUAAGCCGGUGCGCGAACCCAGCAAUGGGACGCAGCCGACCACGGUCGGGUCAGCGACUGGGGUG
Molecule: ribosomal RNA, 101 nt
Filed under: uncultured bacterium
Lineage: Bacteria
Description: partial 16S ribosomal RNA
Rfam family: Bacterial small subunit ribosomal RNA
Source: RNAcentral